RNAcentral lists this ribosomal RNA (462 nucleotides) under uncultured bacterium. Its description in RNAcentral is "partial 16S ribosomal RNA". It matches the Rfam family "Bacterial small subunit ribosomal RNA", at positions 28 to 507 of the family's 1533-position model. The record is from RNAcentral.
GACGAACGCUGGCGGCGUGCUUAACACAUGCAAGUCGAGCGGUAAGGCCUUUCGGGGUACACGAGCGGCGAACGGGUGAGUAACACGUGGGUGAUCUGCCCUGCACUUCGGGAUAAGCCUGGGAAACUGGGUCUAAUACCGGAUAUGACCUCCUAUCGCAUGGUGGGUGGUGGAAAGAUUUAUCGGUGCAGGAUGGGCCCGCGGCCUAUCAGCUUGUUGGUGGGGUAAUGGCCUACCAAGGCGACGACGGGUAGCCGACCUGAGAGGGUGACCGGCCACACUGGGACUGAGACACGGCGCAGAAUGCUACGGGAGGCAGCAGGGGGGAAUAUUGCACAAUGGGCGAAAGCCUGAUGCAGCGACGCCGCGUGAGGGAUGACGGCCUUCGGGUUGUAAACAUAUGUCAGCAGGGACGAAGAGCAAGUGACGGUACCUGAAGAAGAAGCACCGGCUAACUACGUG